Molecule: transfer RNA, 72 nt
Filed under: Kordia sp. TARA_039_SRF
Lineage: Bacteria; Pseudomonadati; Bacteroidota; Flavobacteriia; Flavobacteriales; Flavobacteriaceae
Description: tRNA-Asp
Rfam family: tRNA
About the family: Transfer RNA (tRNA) molecules are approximately 80 nucleotides in length. Their secondary structure includes four short double-helical elements and three loops (D, anti-codon, and T loops). Further hydrogen bonds mediate the characteristic L-shaped molecular structure. tRNAs have two regions of fundamental functional importance: the anti-codon, which is responsible for specific mRNA codon recognition, and the 3' end, to which the tRNAs corresponding amino acid is attached (by aminoacyl-tRNA synthetases). tRNAs cope with the degeneracy of the genetic code in two manners: having more than one tRNA (with a specific anti-codon) for a particular amino acid; and 'wobble' base-pairing, i.e. permitting non-standard base-pairing at the 3rd anti-codon position.
Source: RNAcentral
GCGGUAGUAGCUCAACUGGAAGAGUACAUGACCGUCACUCAUGGGGUGCGGGUUCGAGUCUCGCCUACCGUU